Molecule: ribosomal RNA, 2838 nt
Filed under: Pseudomonadota bacterium
Lineage: Bacteria; Pseudomonadati; Pseudomonadota
Description: Proteobacteria bacterium 23S ribosomal RNA
Rfam family: Bacterial large subunit ribosomal RNA
Source: RNAcentral
GAUUAAGCGACUCAGGGCACGAGACGGAUGCCUUGGGACAUGCUGGCGAUGAAAGACGGAAAAGGCCACGAAAGACUGCGGGAAGCUGCCAAAUGAGCGAUGAUCCGCAGGUGUCUGAAUGGGGAAACCCUAUGGAAGUAAUGUUCCAUAAUUCUAAAGUGAGUAAAGUAGCUUUAGGAAGCAUACGGAGUGAAUUGAAACAUCUCAGUAACUCCAGGAAAAGAAAUCAAGUAAGAGAUUCCCUGAGUAGUGGCGAGCGAAACGGGAACAGCCUAAACCAAGAGACCUAGUCUUUUGGGGUUGCGGGAGUCCAAUGUGUGACUCAUUUUUUUAGCAGAAUGGCCUGGGAAGGCCAGCCAGAGUGGGUGAAAGCCCCGUACGCGAAAAGAAAAUGAGCGCUAGGAAUUUCCCAAGUACCAUGGGGUCGGAGGAUCCCUGUGGGAAUCUGGGUGCACCAUCAUCCAAGGCUAAAUACAAGCAUGUCACCGAUAGCGCAUAGUACCGUGAGGGAAAGGUGAAAAGAACCCCGUUGAGGGGAGUGAAACAGAAUCUGAAAUCCCGUGCCUACAAGCGGUGGGAGGGCUAUGCUCGAAAGAGAAAUGCCUGACCGCGUACCUUUUGCAUAAUGAACCAGCGAGUUAGUGUCGGUAGCAAGGUUAACCCGUUGCAGGGGGAGCCGUAGCGAAAGCGAGUCUGAAUAGGGCGAAUGAGUUGUCGGCACUAGACCCGAAACGUGAUGAGCUAGGCAUGACCAGGUUGAAGCGUCCGUAACAGGGCGUGGAGGACCGAACCGGUGGGCGUUGAAAAGCUCUCGGAUGAGUUGUGUCUAGGGGUGAAAGGCCAACCAAAUUACGUGAUAGCUGGUUCUCCCCGAAAGCUAUUUAGGUAGCGUCUUAUGGAAUGUCAUUGGGGGUAGAGCACUGAUUGAGCUAGGGGCCUUACCGGGUUACCAACCUCUAUCAAACUCCGAAUACCAAUGAACACUACGCCAUAGGAGGCAGACGGCGGGAGAUAAGUUUCGUCGUCAAAAGGGAAAGAACCCAGACCGCCAGCUAAGGUCCCAAAUUCUAUACUGAGUGGGAAAGGAUGUGACGAUCCCCAGACAACCAGGAGGUUUGCUUAGAAGCAGCAACCCUUUAAAGAAAGCGUAAUAGCUCACUGGUCGAGGAUCGUUGCGCCGAAAACGUAACGGGGCUGAAGUAUAGAACCGAAGCUGCGGAUGCUCAUGUACGACGUACAUGGGCGUGGUAGGGGAGCAUUGUCUAGGCUGAUGAAGCGUGAGCGAGAGCACACGUGGAGGUAUGACAAGAGCUGCUGCUGGUAUGAGUAGCGAUAAAAGGGGUGAGAAUCCCCUUCGCCGUAAGCCCAAGGGUUCCUGCACACGGUUCGUCCGGGCAGGGUUAGUCGAGACCUAAGUCGAGGCCGAAAGGCGUAGAUGAUGGAGAUGGGGUUAAUAUUCCUCAACUCAGCUUAAAGCGUUAUUAACUAAGUCGGGACUGCGUAAGUUCCUAUGAGCCAGUCAUCGGUUGUACUGGUCUAAGCAGGUAGGUAUGUAUGGUAGGCAAAUCCGCCGUACAAGAUGCCGAGAUGCGAAUGCGUGAGAGGUCACACUCUCUGAAGUCAUAGGGUCUACACGUACAAGAAAAGCGGCGUAGUGAGUUUUAAGUUGACUCGUACCGGAAACCGACACAGGUGGGCGAGGAGAGCAUCCUCAGGCGCGUGAGAGAAAUCCAGUUAAGGAACUCUGCAAAUUACUACUGUAACUUCGGGAGAAAGUAGCCCGGGAGUACUUGAGAAGACUACGCGUCUUCAAGGGGAAAUCGGGGGCAGAAACUAGGGGGUAUCAACUGUUUAACAAAAACACAGGACUCUGCAAACUCAUUCGAGGAUGUAUAGGGUCUGACGCCUGCCCGGUGCCGGAAGGUCAUGGGGAGAGGUCAUGGGGUAACCCAGAAGCUUCGAACUUAAGCCCCGGUAAACGGCGGCCGUAACUAUAACGGUCCUAAGGUAGCGAAAUUCCUUGUCGGGUAAGUUCCGACCUGCACGAAUGGCGUAAUGAAUUCCCCACUGUCUCGACUGGAGACUCAGCGAAAUUGGAGUUGCGGUGCAGAUACCGUAUUCCUGCGGCAAGACGGAAAGACCCCGUGAACCUUUACUGUACCCUGGCAUAGAUUAUCUGGAAAUUUUGUGUAGGAUAGGUGGGAGCCUUUGAAGCUUGGGCGCUAGCUCAGGUGGAGGCAAUCUUGAAAUACCACCCUGAAUUUUUGGCUAUUCUCACCGUAGAUCGUCUAACCGGUCACGGGACGAUGUCAGGCGGGCAGUUUGACUGGGGCGGUCGCCUCCCAAAGAGUAACGGAGGCGCACGAAGGUACCCUCAGGCCGAGUGGAAACCGGCCGUAGAAGAGUUCACAUCGACGGGGAGGUUUGGCACCUCGAUGUCGGCUCAUCGCAUCCUGGGGCUGGAGCAGGUCCCAAGGGUUUGGCUGUUCGCCAAUUAAAGCGGUACGCGAGCUGGGUUCAGAACGUCGUGAGACAGUUCGGUCCCUAUCUGCCGUAGGUGUUGGAGAAGUGAGAAGAGCUGUCCUUAGUACGAGAGGACCGGGAUGGACGGACCGCUAGUGAGCCUGUUGUUUCGCCAGAAGCAAUCGCAGGGUAGCUAUGUCCGGACGAGAUAACCGCUGAAAGCAUCUAAGUGGGAAACUCUCUUCAAAACAACUUCUCCCGGGGCGUUAAGCCCCCAUUAAGUUCCCUCGUAGACGACGAGGUUGAUAGGGUGGGUGUGUAAGUGCAGUAAUGCAUUCAGCUGACCACUACUAAUCGAACGUGAGGCUUAUCUUU